ACUCAAAGGAAUAGACGGGGGCCCGCACAAGCAGUGGAGCAUGUGGUUUAAUUCGACGCAACGCGCAGAACCUUACCAGGGCUUGACAUCGUCUGACAGCUGUGGAGACACAGUAUUCCCGCUUAGGUGGGACAGAUAGACAGGUGCUGCAUGGUUGUCGUCAGCUCGUGUCGUGAGAUGUUGGGUUAAGUCCCGCAACGAGCGCAACCCCUGUCCUGUGUUGCCAGCGUAGAGACGGGCACUCACAGGAGACUGCCGGAGAGAAUUCGGAGGAAGGUGGGGAUGACGUCAAAUCAUCAUGGCCCUUAUACCCUGGGCUACACACGUGCUACAAUGGCAGGCACAGAGGGGAGCGAAGGAGCGAUCCGGAGCGAAUCUCAAAAAGCCUGUCUCAGUUCGGAUUGGGGGCUGCAACUCGCCCCCAUGAAGCCGGAAUUGCUAGUAAUCGCGGAUCAGCCACGCCGCGGUGAAUACGUUCCCGGGCCUUGUACACACCGCCCGU
RNAcentral lists this ribosomal RNA (502 nucleotides) under uncultured bacterium. RNAcentral's name for it is "bacterial SSU rRNA". It matches the Rfam family "Bacterial small subunit ribosomal RNA", at positions 899 to 1397 of the family's 1533-position model. The record is from RNAcentral.